Small nucleolar RNA from Pogoniulus pusillus (Red-fronted tinkerbird), 136 nucleotides. RefSeq annotates it as small nucleolar RNA SNORA8. The transcript has a single exon. NCBI's taxonomy places the organism in Eukaryota, Metazoa, Chordata, Aves, Piciformes, Lybiidae. The record is from RefSeq and is a predicted model, not a curated record.
UGCACUGGGUGGUAUCUGUAUCCAGAAGCAUUUUCCUAAUGGGAUGUUCAUAAAACAGUGCUACAGUAGUUCAGUGUCUGGCAUCAGUUUUCAUUCUGCUAUGUCUGUUAAACUUGGUAUUUCUGCUGAUACAGUC